This 4919-nucleotide long non-coding RNA is filed under the name Sus scrofa (pig). RNAcentral's name for it is "lncRNA (ENSSSCG00050064095.1)". Lineage: Eukaryota; Metazoa; Chordata; Mammalia; Artiodactyla; Suidae. The record is from RNAcentral.
UGUCUUUUUUUGCUAUUUCUUGGGCUGCUCCCGUGGCACAUGGAGGUUCCCAGGCUAGGGGUCGAAUCGGAGCUGUAGCUGCCAGCCUACGCCACAGCCACAGCCACGCCAGAUCCCAGCCACGUCUGUGACCUACACCCCAGCUCACAGCAGCACCAGAUCCUUAACCCACUAAGCGAGGCCAGAGAUCGAAACUGCAACCUCAUGGUUUCUAGUCAGAUUCGUUAACCACUGUGCCAUGACGGGAACUCCCUUUUUAUUUUUAAAAAGAGAGCAGACAUCACCAUGAAGGAUUUUAGUCUUUUUCUAGAUAUGCAAGAAGUGGGCUCAUAAAAUCUUCUCCUAAAAAUAUCUACUAUCUCAAGACCUGUUCUUCCAGUUUCCCCAGAGCACAGAGUGGCUCAUUCCCGAUCUCCACCCUGAGCUUUGCUCAGGGGGUGCUGUGGAUCAGCAGCUGCAGUGGCUCAUAAUUUAAUCCAUUUAGAGGCAGAUGGCAACUGCCAAACUCCAGUUCACAAAACAUUCGGACAAAUUGCACGGCCAUGUUUCUACAACUCAAAAUCCCAACCACGAAUGUUAUAUUGAUUGGAAUAUUCCACUGACACAGUUUCCAUCAUCAAGGCCUAGCAAACCAGAAUACCAAACAUACUGUGAAUUUAACUAACACCCUGAGAGGAAGCAAAAAAUCCUUUUCCAAACUCUUUCCCUUUUAGGUUUAUGUUCUAUUACUGCCUAGGAAUAAAACAGAAACAAAACAGAAACAAAAUGUUAAGAAAAUGGUAUACAGGUCUCUACUCAGGAAUAAGGACAAGAGAAGAGCAGCAACAGGGUUUAGCUAUACUUAUAAAUCAUCAAACUGCACCUGUAAUUACAGGAAAAUAAAGAGUGAAAAAAAUAGCUUUAGAAGAAGAGUUGGAGGUGCUGCAUCUGGAAAAAAAAAUGGAGGCAAGGAAAAAGUGAUGAGAAAAGCUUAAGGUAAGCAGAGGGCGGGUGGGAGAGGGGCCCACAUCAAUGAUGGCAACUGUCACUGGUUACCCUCAAAUUCAAUAUGGCAGGUAAGAAAAAUGAGUAGAGUUGACCUUUGAACAAUUUGGGGUUGGGGUGCCAAUCCUUUGUGUGGUUUAAAACAUGUAUAUAACUCAUAGUCAGCCUUCUCUAUAUGGUUACUCCAUAUCCACAGUUUCCCAUCAGAGAAUUCAACCAGCCUAGGAUACAGAACUGAGGUAUUUACUAUUGAAAAAAAUCCAUGUAGAAAAGUGAGCAGGCACAGUUCAAACCUGCAUUGUUCAAGGGUCAAAUGUACACAGCUACCCCUGAAGUUGGCAGGUGAUGAUAAGCUCUAAGAUAGAGGUGAAAGGAGCAGCAAGAAAAUGGGGUGGGGGUAUUCUGGAGGAUUUUACGGGACCCUGUCAAGAGGAAGACUUGUCUGGGCCUCAGAAAACAUGGCAGGAUUUCAGCAGGUAGAGAGGUUAGGGCCAGCCAGGGAGAUUGUUCCUGCUGAAGUUAUGACCCAAAAAUAAGAGAACUGGGUCAGGAGUAGAUGCAUUUGUUUGUUUAUAUGUUCAGUAAAUAUCUGUUUAGCACCUGCCAGGGACAGACAUAGAUGACAGGAGACAGGGGUUAAAAGAAACUUGAAAAGCAGCAGUGAAAUAGCACACACUUUGAACCUUUGGCAAUAGAAAGGCAGUAUUACUGUUGGCUUCCUGAUCCAUGACUAAAGGAGAGAGGUGAUCAGAUUCAUGUUUCAGGAAGUGACCUAAGCAGCCACUUAGAAGAUGUAUUGGGAAGAUAGAUGGAUUAGAAACAUAUUUGGGAAACUCCCAAGAGUGUCCAGCCAGGUGCAUUGGCCGUGGACAAUGGAGGCUCAAUGGUGGCCCAGUGAGCUGGAUGCUGUGUGUGUCUUGCUCACCCUUGAUCCUUGCUAGUCUCCCUUCCCAUGCAGAGGCUGGCAAACCAAAACCUAUUUAACAGGCUCCUUUAAGCUAGGACUCUGAAGGAGAACUUGGUUCUACUAAUUCAAAGCUCUUGGUCGAAAUGUAGAAGGUGGUAUCUUCCUGACCCCUUUUGGCCACUAUCCACUUUGAAAAGUAAGAUUAGACAUGUGAGGCUUCCUUCGGCACCAUUCCAGGGUCUAUCAUCUUUCAGCUGGGGAAAGGCAGUGAGAGGGCAGUAUUAAUACUGGCUUCCUGAUCCGUGAAUAAACAGUUACAGCCAGACCUUCUCAAACUCCAGACUUCCAGUAGAACCUGAGAGGCAGACCCUUGGUGCAUUCUUCCUGUGCCUGUUCCUCUAACCCUCCCUUGAUUUUAUAAUUCCCAGCCUUCAUAGGAAAUCCAUUCCUGAUUACAAUACCAGUAGUGCCCUCUUUCCCAUACUCCAUCUUGAAGGGUAUAGCCAAUACAGAUUUUUCUUUAAAAGGAGGGAGAUGAUCAGAUUUGUGCUUUAGGAAGUGACCUAUCCAGCUACUUAAAAGAUGGUUUGGGAAGAUAGAUGGAUUAGAAAUAUAUUUGGGAAACUCCAAGAGUGUCCAGCCAGAACCAAUGUGCCUGAAAUAUCUGGGCAGAACAAAACAGAGUGGGAAUAGGGAAGGUGUAGAAAGAAGGUAUUUAAUAGAAUUGACAGGAUCUUUUGGAAAUGGGGUGGGAUGGGAGAAGAUUAAACUUGGGCCACUACCUCACCCCAGUUCUGUGGGGACCCUCUGUCUACUCUCAGAGUAGACCCUCAGUCUACUCUGUUCUUUACAUCACACCACCCAUCACAGUCAUUAAUUCUGACCUCGUCCUCGGGCUUCAGACUGUCCUAUUUUUCUCUUUGUUGCAUCCUAAGUACAGAGCACAGGGUAUGACUCUUAAUAGAGUGUUCACUGUAUAUGAGUUGGCAAGAUGGGUGGAUGGAUGGAAGGAAGGAAAGUGGGAGAGAGUGCCCCCAACCUCAGAGGCACUGGGAGCACUGAGAUUCUAUUAACCAAGCAAGUCACCAUAGGCUAGAACUUCUUGAAGAGUGUUGACUCUUGGAUUACAUGGGGCAUCCGGAUGAAGAUGAUUGGUAGUAACAUGAGUCUAGAGGUUAGGAAAUAUGAGUUUGAUACAAAUUUGAGAGUCACUGCACAGAAUGAAAGCUAACGGUUUCAUAGGAAAAGAGGAUGCCUCGGUAAACCCUGGGUAAGGUCCACAUUAUAACUACAAAGGGAAGAGAGUCUAAAAUGCCAGUCAGUGUAGUAGACAUUACACACACCUUGUCCUUUGCAGACCUGUAACAAUUUAUAAGUGAAGUAUAUUAUCCCCACUCUACAGAGGUGGAAACUGAGGCUAAGCAAAGAUGAGCAUUGCCCAAAGGUCACAUAGCUGGUGAUGACAGAGCUGAGAUUCAAACCCAGAUGUGCCUGACUCCAAAAUCUGUGCUCAUUAUGCACCCUAGCCUCCACAACAAAAGGGCAUGACUCAAGAAAGUGACUCCCAACUGGGCAGAGGGGAAAGAGAAGCAGAAAGAUGCUUUGACACGGAAGUCCAAUCAGGAGAUAUAUUUUUUAAAAAGGGGGGGCGGCUAGACUAGAAAAUGCCAGUAUGAAUCCAUGGUGUUUAGUUAUCAGCAGGUAAUUUUGGCUAGGGCAAAGUAGGGAAGAAGGACAGAAGCUAUAUUUUUUGGUCAUAAAAGGAGAAAGAAUAGGUACUUUCUAUCAGCCACAUUCAGAAGGUUUGAAUGGUAACUGGAUGAAUGGAGGGAAGACUAUUAUAAGAGGGAGAAAACAAAGUCAAUCAUGAGUUUAACAUAAACAAGAUGCUUAUGGGCCAAAGAGAACAGUGAAAGGUGGAAACCAGAGAUGCACGAAGUAAAGCAAUGAGUAAGAAAGGUCUUCCAAAGACGGAAAGAGUGGAAGAGCCGGCUGUUGAGAAAAGAGAAAAAGACAGACAAGUGAUAAGAUUGAGUUGUGGUCCCCACCCUGAUAUCUGCAAAGGAAACACCAGGAAUCUGAGGAAGGAGUUCCGGUUUGCCAGUAAGUCUAGCAGAUACUACACAUUUACACUGAUCAGCCUGUACACACACAGGAGUGAUUUCUUUCCUUUGGAUUGGAAUUCAAUCAACCUGUUUUGUAACACUGAUUACCUCAUGCAGACUGGAAACUCAGAGGAAGUGAAAUUUGUCUUUGGUUAGCCAAAGGAGAAUGAUCACUAAUUACCAUUUAUUGAAUGCUGCCUUUUGUCACAGUCUUCCAAAACAUACACCAACAGUAGGGAAUCAUAAAAGAGGUCGUUCAUAGCAAAACAAUGACUAACUCACUAGAAUUAAAAACUCUAUCAGCAGAACUCUGAAAGUUCACAGGACAUAAUCAGAUGUUAAAUAUCUACAAAUGUUGAGACCAGGAAAAAAAUUAGAAUAUCAAACGGUAAUUCGUUAAAUCCAAUUUAGUAGUGAAGCAACCUGGGUGGAUGAGUGUGGACCUAGAUUUGACAAGAGAAGGCAGAACCAGACCCAAAAAAAUGAGGUCUACAAAAUCAUGCCACGCGGACAUGCGGACUUGGAGACCUCACUGGCACAGCUUCUAUGGAGGACAGGUCCAUGUGUCCCUCAUGGUUUUAAGAGAAAAAAAAAAGUCAACCUUGACAUCUGUACCUCCUGACCUCAAGAACUAGCAGAAUGAUUCAUGGUAGAAUUACUUCCUUGGUGGGUAAAUAUCUGUUAAGCCUGGGAGAGCUCAGAAAUGCAUGAAAAUAAGUCAUAAAUCAAAUCUGUCAGGUCUGUUUAUGUUUGAUAUUUAAAGUGUUUAUUUUGUUAAUGAGGAUAGCAUUAGCUAGCUGGCAGACAAGCACUGUGAUUCGAACGUAAAUUAGGUCAUUAAGUAACUGAGAACUGUGAUGUCAAGUUAAAUGAUAUGACAGAGCUUUGUUAUAAUAUUGGAAUGUUUAAGAGAAUUUCAAUUU